RNAcentral lists this ribosomal RNA (807 nucleotides) under Sarocladium implicatum. RNAcentral describes it as "eukaryotic LSU rRNA". It matches the Rfam family "Eukaryotic large subunit ribosomal RNA", at positions 85 to 922 of the family's 3401-position model. The record is from RNAcentral. Lineage: Eukaryota; Fungi; Ascomycota; Sordariomycetes; Hypocreales; Sarocladiaceae.
UACGGCGAGUGAAGCGGCAACAGCUCAAAUUUGAAAUCUCGGCCCUCGCGGUCCGAAUUGUAAUUUGCAGAGGAUGCUUUGGGCGCGGCGCCUUCCGAGUUUCCUGGAACGGAACGCCAUAGAGGGUGAGAGCCCCGUCCGGUUGGAUGCCUAGCCUAUGUAAAGCUCCUUCGACGAGUCGAGUAGUUUGGGAAUGCUGCUCUAAAUGGGAGGUACAUGUCUUCUAAAGCUAAAUAUUGGCCAGAGACCGAUAGCGCACAAGUAGAGUGAUCGAAAGAUGAAAAGCACUUUGAAAAGAGGGUUAAAUAGUACGUGAAAUUGUUGAAAGGGAAGCAUUUAUGACCAGACUUGGGCCCGGUUAAUCAUCUAGCGUUCUCGCUGGUGCACUUUGCCGGCCCAGGCCAGCAUCAGUUCGUCGCGGGGGAUAAAGGCUUCGGGAACGUGGCUCCCUCGGGAGUGUUAUAGCCCGUUGCGUAAUACCCUGCCUCGGACUGAGGUUCGCGCAUCUGCAAGGAUGCUGGCGUAAUGGUCAUCAAUGACCCGUCUUGAAACACGGACCAAGGAGUCGUCUUCGUAUGCGAGUGUUCGGGUGUCAAACCCCUACGCGUAAUGAAAGUGAACGCAGGUGAGAGCUUCGGCGCAUCAUCGACCGAUCCUGAUGUUCUCGGAUGGAUUUGAGUAAGAGCAUACGGGGCCGGACCCGAAAGAAGGUGAACUAUGCCUGUAUAGGGUGAAGCCAGAGGAAACUCUGGUGGAGGCUCGCAGCGGUUCUGACGUGCAAAUCGAUCGUCAAAUAUGGGCAUGGGG